RNAcentral lists this ribosomal RNA (206 nucleotides) under uncultured bacterium. RNAcentral describes it as "partial 16S ribosomal RNA". It matches the Rfam family "Bacterial small subunit ribosomal RNA", at positions 524 to 732 of the family's 1533-position model. The record is from RNAcentral.
GACGUAGGGCGCGAGCGUUGUCCGGAUUUAUUGGGCGUAAAGGGCUCGUAGGCGGUCUGUCACGUCGGGGAGUGAAAACUCAGGGCUUAACCCUGAGCCUGCUUCCGAUACGGGCAGACUAGAGGUAUGCAGGGGAGAACGGAAUUCCUGGUGUAGCGGUGAAAUGCGCAGAUAUCAGUGGAGAACCGUGGCGAAGGCGGCUCUGG